AUUGAACGCUAGCGGCAUGCUUAACACAUGCAAGUCGAACGGCAGCGCGGGUAGCUUGCUACCUGGCGGCGAGUGGCGGACGGGUGAGUAAUGCGUAGGAAUCUACCUUAUAGUGGGGGAUAACCCGGGGAAACUCGGGCUAAUACCGCAUAAUCUCUACGGAGCAAAGCGGGGGACCUUCGGGCCUCGUGCUAUAAGAUGAGCCUACAUCGGAUUAGCUAGUUGGUGGGGUAAAGGCCUACCAAGGCGACGAUCCGUAGCUGGUCUGAGAGGACGAUCAGCCACACUGGGACUGAGACACGGCCCAGACUCCUACGGGAGGCAGCAGUGGGGAAUAUUGGACAAUAGGGGAAACCCUGAUCCAGCAAUGCCGCGUGUGUGAAGAAGGCCUUCGGGUUGUAAAGCACUUUCAGUGGGGAAGAAAGAACCAAAAUUAAUACUUUUGGGUGCUGACGUUACCCACAGAAGAAGCACUGGCUAACUCUGUGCCAGCCGCCGCCGUAA
RNAcentral lists this ribosomal RNA (504 nucleotides) under uncultured bacterium. Its description in RNAcentral is "partial 16S ribosomal RNA". It matches the Rfam family "Bacterial small subunit ribosomal RNA", at positions 30 to 523 of the family's 1533-position model. The record is from RNAcentral.